GCUUGCUUCAGCAGCACAUACUAAAAUUGGAACAAUACAAAGAAGAUUAGCAUGGCCCCUGUGCAAGGACGACACACAAAUUUGUGAAGUGUUCCAUAUUUUU
This is a non-coding RNA of Otolemur garnettii (small-eared galago), 103 nucleotides long. The record is from Rfam. NCBI's taxonomy places the organism in Eukaryota, Metazoa, Chordata, Mammalia, Primates, Galagidae.